RNAcentral lists this ribosomal RNA (2249 nucleotides) under Exanthemachrysis gayraliae. RNAcentral's name for it is "partial Bacterial large subunit ribosomal RNA". It matches the Rfam family "Bacterial large subunit ribosomal RNA", at positions 17 to 2106 of the family's 2925-position model. Lineage: Eukaryota; Haptophyta; Pavlovophyceae; Pavlovales; Pavlovaceae. The record is from RNAcentral.
GCGAUCGGUGGAUGCCUUGGCACCAAGAGCCGAUGAAGGACGUUGUGACCUGCGAUAAGCCCUGGGGAGUUGGUGAGCGAGCUGUGAUCCGGGGGUGUCCGAAUGGGGAAACCUGGAAUGUCCGGAGUAGUGUCCGGUGGCCCUGCCCUGAAUGUAUAGGGGUGUGGGUGGUAACGCGGGGAAGUGAAACAUCUUAGUACCCGUAGGAAGAGAAAACAAGUGUGAUUCCGUGAGUAGUGGCGAGCGAAAGCGGAGGAGGCUAAACCGUGUGUGUGUUCAAGCCGGCAGGUGUUGCAUGUGCGGGGUUGUGGGGGCCUUGUGGUUCUGCUGCCGCAGGAUUGGCCAGUGAGAAAUGUUGCGUGAAGGUGAAGCGUCUGGGAAGGCGUACCGGAGUGGGUGAGAGUCCUGUAACUGUAAGCGUGGCACUGGUGUGGGGUUGCCCCGAGUAGCGUGGGACUCGUGGAAUUUCGCGUGAAUCUGGCGGGACCACCCGUCAAGCCUAAAUACUCCUUGGUGACCGAUAGUGGAUGAGUACCGUGAGGGAAGGGUGAAAAGUACCCCGGGAGGGGAGUGAAAGAGUUCCUGAAACCGGUCGCAUGCAAGCCGUCAGAGCCUGUGUGGUGAUGGCGUGCCUUUUGAAGAAUGAGCCUGCGAGUUAGUGAUGCGUGGCGAGGUUAACCCGUGGUGGGGGAGUCGUAGCGAAAGCGAGUCCGAUAAGGGCGUGAGUCGCGUGUUCUAGACCCGAAGCGGUGUGAUCUAUCCAUGGCCAGGAUGAAGCGUCGGUAAGACGUCGUGGAGGUCCGAACCCACUUCAGUUAAAAAUGGAGGGGAUGAGUUGUGGAUAGGGGUGAAAGGCCAAUCAAACACCGUGAUAGCUGGUUCUCCCCGAAAUGCAUUUAGGUGCAGCGUUGCGUGGUUCUUGUUGGAGGUAGAGCACUGGAUGGUCUAGGGGGCUUAUCGGCUUACCGAAAUCAGCCAAACUCCGAAUGCUGGCAAGUGUAGCGUGGCAGUGAGACGGCGGGGGAUAAGCUUCGUCGUCGAGAGGGAAACAGCCCAGAUCAUCAGCUAAGGCCCCUAAGUGGUGACUCAGUGGGAAAGGAUGUGGAGUUGCGUAGACAACCAGGAGGUUGGCUUGGAAGCAGCCAUCCUUGAAAGAGUGCGUAAUAGCUCACUGGUCAAGUGAUUCCGCGCCGAUAAUGUAGCGGGGCUUAAGUUAUCCGCCGAAGCUGUGGCAACCUGUGUGGUUGGGUAGGGGAGCGUCGUGUCAGUGGUGAAGCUGCCGGGUGACUGUGUGGUGGAGUUGAUGCGAGUGAGAAUGCAGGCAUGAGUAGCGUGUGACGGGUGGGAAUCCCGUCCGCCGAUUAUCCAAGGGUUCCAGGGUCAAGUUUGUCUGCCCUGGGUGAGUCGGGUCCUAAGGCGAGGCCGACAGGCGUAGUCGAUGGGUAACCAGUUGAUAUUCUGGUACCGGCUUGUCACCGUCCGUGUCGAGGUGUGUGAUGCUAAGCAUGUGAGCUUGUCUUGGGAGUGUUUUUGAUGCUUCUGGGGUGGGUGAGUGUGUGAACCGAUCAUGUAGUAGGCAAGCUGCGGAGGGACGCAGUGAGGUAGCUCAUCCCCGGUGAUGGUUGUCCGGGGCUAAGUGUGUGGACUGUCUGGUAGGUAAAUCCGCUGGGCGUGAAGGUUGAGGCAUGAUGGGGAGCCCACGGUUGUGGGUGAGUGAGUGAUCCUGUACUGUCGAGAAAAGCUUCGUGAGCGAGGUGGCGGGUCCGCCCGUACCCUAAACCGACACUGGUGGAUAGGUAGAGUAUACCGAGGCGAUCGAGUGAAUCGUGGUGAAGGAACUCGGCAAAAUGCCCCCGUAACUUUGGGAUAAGGGGGACCUGAGCUGUCGUGCACCCGUGCGGUGUGGUGGCGGUGAGGGGCGCAGAGUCCAGGGGGAAACGACUGUUUACCAAAAACACAGGUCCGUGCGAAGUCGUAAGACGAUGUAUACGGACUGACUCCUGCCCGGUGCUGGAAGGUUAAGGGGAACUGUGAGUGUGAUGCGUAGCGGUGAACUUAAGCCCCAGUAAACGGCGGUGGUAACUAUAACCAUCCUAAGGUAGCGAAAUUCCUUGUCGGGUAAGUUCCGACCUGCACGAAUGGUGCAACGAUCUGGAUACUGUCUCAACCAUGAGCUCGGUGAAAUUGUAAUCCCGGUGAAGAUGCCGGGUACCCGCAAUGGGACGAAAAGACCCCGUGAACCUUUACUA